This 506-nucleotide ribosomal RNA is filed under the name uncultured bacterium. RNAcentral describes it as "partial 16S ribosomal RNA". It matches the Rfam family "Bacterial small subunit ribosomal RNA", at positions 28 to 523 of the family's 1533-position model. The record is from RNAcentral.
GAUGAACGCUAGCUACAGGCUUAACACAUGCAAGUCGAGGGGUAACGAGAGGAAAGCUUGCUUUCCUUGUCGACGACCGGCGCACGGGUGAGUAACGCGUAUCCAACCUGCCCCCAACUAGGGAAUAACCUUGCGAAAGUAAGACUAAUACCCGAUAAUUUCCUCAGAUGUCAUCUGACGAGGAACAAAGAUUUAUCGGUUGUGGAUGGGGAUGCGUCUGGUUAGCGGGUUGGCGGGGUAACGGCCCACCAAGGCAACGAUCAGUAGGGGUUCUGAGAGGAAGGUCCCCCAGAGUUGAAACGAGACACAGUCCAAACGGCUACGGGGGGGAGCAGUGAGGAAUAUUGGUCGAUGGGCGGAAGCCUGAACCAGCCAAGUAGCGUGCAGGAUGGCUGCCCUAUGGGUUGUAAUCUGCUUUUAGACAGGAAUAAAGUUAGCCACGUGUGGUUAUUUGUAGGUACUGUAUGAAUAAGGACCGGCUAAUUCCGUGCCAGCAGCCGCAGUAA